Molecule: long non-coding RNA, 344 nt
Organism: Ornithodoros turicata
Lineage: Eukaryota; Metazoa; Arthropoda; Arachnida; Ixodida; Argasidae
Exons: 2
Source: RefSeq, a predicted model, not a curated record
CCCUUAUUCUUCCCCGUUCUGCUGGUUCUUCUCUCCGUUGACUAUUACCUUGCCGAGGAGAUUCAUUGGGAAAGUGUGCCAGUCGAACACGACUACUGCGACUACAACGGUACGCUACUCAAGGAUGGCCUCAACUACGACAAGGUGUACGAUUGGUGCGGUCUCGUGAAGUGCAACGCCUCAGCCGCAGCCGUCGAGAUCACCAAGUGUACAAUCCCUCCUGGCUGUGAAGAACCGAAGGGGGGUUCUUACCCACAAUGUUGUGAGCACCUCAUAUGCCACUAACAGCUAACGACUGCGUUCGUUACGAAAAAUAGCACGCAAUAAAAAGUAUGAAAACUAGA